RNAcentral lists this ribosomal RNA (922 nucleotides) under Triticum aestivum (bread wheat). RNAcentral's name for it is "partial small subunit ribosomal RNA". The record is from RNAcentral. Lineage: Eukaryota; Viridiplantae; Streptophyta; Magnoliopsida; Poales; Poaceae.
GUCAUGAUUUGUUAGUGGUCAGACUUUGACUUGUACAGUAUCGUAAUAAUAUGUCAAUGUUUAGACUUGGUUAUCGUUCAAAGUUCGUGAUCGGUUUAUACUUAUAAUGUAUACUAGAGUUCAGAUGUCUUUAAAUCUCUUACUUCCCCUCAUCGUCGUUAAAUACCAAGUCUAAUCCUCGUCUCGUCCCCCGGUUCCUUCUUCGUCGUCGCAAAUCCUCUACCUCGUCGUAGCACUCCAAGUCUCUUCCUCGUUGUCAUCCCCUUUCUUUUCUUCUCGUCGUCAUCACUGUACCCUCUUCUUCGUCGUCUCGCGUCAUCGUUGGCAUCCAAGUCUAUUCCUCAUUGUCGUACCAAACCCGUUCUUCUUGUUGUUUCCGCACAAUCCGUCUCUCGUCGUCGUACCACUCCUCGUCGUCCCCCGCGUCCUCUUAUCCUCGUCGAUCCGUUCCCCGCGUCCCAUGUCGUCGUCUCUCCUCUCUGAGCGCGCCUCGUGAUCUGUUGGUGCUGGAGAUCAGACCAGCCCGUGCGCUCCACUACCACUGACCUACACUACCGCUACCACCUACCUACGCAAUGCCAUACCGCCCACCUCCACGACGCCGUAACCCCUCGCCCACCUCCACGACCCACCGCGACCACCUACCGACCCAACGCGUGGCGGUGCGGCCGGAUCGGCGCCGCCACCGGCCUCCACCUUCUUCCUCCCCACUCCCUCUCUCUACACACGGUCCGGGCUAGGUUUUUUAACCAACGCGAUCCCUAAAACAAGGGGAAGAGAGUCGACGGUGACAACGUGAAACCGGGAGGAGUAGAGUUGAAAGAUGCGUUCUUCUAGGUAAGAAGUAAAUCAACCGCGGGGACCUAUGAAGAAGGAAGGAUCAACCCAGGGAGAAGAGAAGAACGGGUUUCAGAACAAGGAG